AACGAACGCUGGCGGCAUGCCUAACACAUGCAAGUCGAACGAGAACUUCGGGUCUAGUGGCGCACGGGUGCGUAACGCGUGGGAACCUGCCCUUAGGUUCGGAAUAACUCCCCGAAAGGGGUGCUAAUACCGGAUAAUGUCUUCGGACCAAAGAUUUCUCGCCUUUGGAUGGGCCCGCGUUGGAUUCGCUAGUUGGUAGGGUAAAAGCCUACCAAGGCGACGAUCCAUAGCUGGUCUGAGAGGAUGAUCAGCCACACUGGGACUGAGACACGGCCCAGACUCCUACGGGAGGGAGCAGUGGGGAAUAUUGGACAAUGGGCGAAAGCCUGAUCCAGCAAUGCCGCGUGAGUGAUGAAGGCCUUAGGGUUGUAAAGCUCUUUUACCCGGGAUGAUAAUGACAGUACCGGGAGAAGAAGCACCGGCUAACUCCGUG
RNAcentral lists this ribosomal RNA (433 nucleotides) under uncultured bacterium. RNAcentral describes it as "partial 16S ribosomal RNA". It matches the Rfam family "Bacterial small subunit ribosomal RNA", at positions 29 to 507 of the family's 1533-position model. The record is from RNAcentral.